CCAUCACCAUCUCCUCUACAACCGCGACAGCCCAAAAUAGAAAUGGCUCUCAUAGUUGUUCGCAAGGAGAGGAAGGGGGCGCACCCCUUCCCAAAUGUACAGCUGGGUCUAGGGAAGAGAUUUAAAGGCCUAGAGCGACACCACUCCGCUCUCAGAGACUCACGCCCAAUUUCAAAGCCAAAGUUCCGGUCUGCAUCUCUUCCUCCUUUCCGCCCGUAACUUUCUGGGCAGCCUGGCGGAGAAGAGCUUCUUCCGCUUCCCCUUUCGGCUUGAGGCUACGGUAGGAGUGCUGGCAGCAUGGUGGCAACUAUGAAGGAAUACACUUGAUGAAAUUGAAGCCAGAUUAUGUUUGGGAACUGAACCAUGCCACAAACUUGAAUGUUGCACAACCUGUAACUCAUCAGCCAUGUAUAGCAGUUAACCAAAGAUUGAAAUGUUUUUUUGCUGUCACACAGUAAGGUUUCCAAGUAACUAAUCGGAACAACACGGUGCUGCUAAGCUGUGUAUGGUGAUUACUUGUUGAACAAGCCUGAUUUAAUGUAUAUCUUGUAUUAUGUCUGGGGAACAUGGAGGGACAAUAAACUGAAGCUUUGAGAUUUUCA
This is a long non-coding RNA of Sphaerodactylus townsendi, 602 nucleotides long. RefSeq lists it as uncharacterized. The record is from RefSeq and is a predicted model, not a curated record. The transcript is spliced from 2 exons. Lineage: Eukaryota; Metazoa; Chordata; Lepidosauria; Squamata; Sphaerodactylidae.